CCCAGCUCUAAGUCAGCUGACCAGGCAGUCUGUGUCUGGCUCAGUGUUACAGUGCUGGUAGAUGAAGCCUCUGGACGUGGUCUCAGCUGUGCAGGCUCUGUUUUAGAGUCUGCUGCUUCAGAGAUGCUGCAGAGCGCGGCCCGACGAGAGUGGCCUGUCCUGGACAACAGCAGGGCAGGCCUAGUGCAGGGCCGCACAUU
Small nucleolar RNA from Chelmon rostratus (copperband butterflyfish), 200 nucleotides. RefSeq annotates it as small nucleolar RNA SNORA74. Lineage: Eukaryota; Metazoa; Chordata; Actinopteri; Chaetodontiformes; Chaetodontidae. The transcript has a single exon. The record is from RefSeq and is a predicted model, not a curated record.